This 82-nucleotide transfer RNA is filed under the name Ophiocordyceps sinensis CO18. RNAcentral's name for it is "tRNA-Leu (AAG) (tRNA-Leu-AAG-1-1)". It matches the Rfam family "tRNA". From Rfam's summary of the family: Transfer RNA (tRNA) molecules are approximately 80 nucleotides in length. Their secondary structure includes four short double-helical elements and three loops (D, anti-codon, and T loops). Further hydrogen bonds mediate the characteristic L-shaped molecular structure. tRNAs have two regions of fundamental functional importance: the anti-codon, which is responsible for specific mRNA codon recognition, and the 3' end, to which the tRNAs corresponding amino acid is attached (by aminoacyl-tRNA synthetases). tRNAs cope with the degeneracy of the genetic code in two manners: having more than one tRNA (with a specific anti-codon) for a particular amino acid; and 'wobble' base-pairing, i.e. permitting non-standard base-pairing at the 3rd anti-codon position. Lineage: Eukaryota; Fungi; Ascomycota; Sordariomycetes; Hypocreales; Ophiocordycipitaceae. The record is from RNAcentral.
GGCAAGAUGGCCGAGUUGGUUAUGGCGCCAGGUUAAGGUCCUGGUGGAGAAAUCCUCCUGGGUUCAAGUCCCAGUCUUGUCA